This 56-nucleotide transfer RNA is filed under the name Prochilodus lineatus (curimbata). Its description in RNAcentral is "partial tRNA-Phe". The record is from RNAcentral. Lineage: Eukaryota; Metazoa; Chordata; Actinopteri; Characiformes; Prochilodontidae.
GCUAGCGUAGCUUAAAUAAAGCAUAACACUGAAGGAUGUUAAGUAUGCACUACACA